GACGAACGCUGGCGGCGUGCUUAACACAUGCAAGUCGAACGGAAAGGCCCUGCUUUUGUGGGGUGCUCGAGUGGCGAACGGGUGAGUAACACGUGAGUAACCUACCCUUGACUUUGGGAUAACUUCAGGCAACUGGGGCUAAUACCGGAUAGGAGCUCCUGCUGCAUGGUGGGGGUUGGAAAGUUUCGGCGGUUGGGGAUGGACUCGCGGCUUAUCAGCUUGUUGGUGGGGUAGUGGCUUACCAAGGCUUUGACGGGUAGCCGGCCUGAGAGGGUGACCGGCCACAUUGGGACUGAGAUACGGCCCAGACUCCUACGGGAGGCAGCAGUGGGGAAUAUUGCACAAUGGGCGGAAGCCUGAUGCAGCAACGCCGCGUGCGGGAUGACGGCCUUCGGGUUGUAAACCGCUUUCGCCUGUGACGAAGCGUGAGUGACGGUAAUGGGUAAAGAAGCACCGGCUAACUACGUG
RNAcentral lists this ribosomal RNA (468 nucleotides) under uncultured bacterium. Its description in RNAcentral is "partial 16S ribosomal RNA". It matches the Rfam family "Bacterial small subunit ribosomal RNA", at positions 28 to 507 of the family's 1533-position model. The record is from RNAcentral.